GCAUGGACUGAGGGAGGAGCCCCUUGAGAAUCUCACUUCUGUCCCCAUAAGUGUGCAACCAGGAGUGGCCGCAGCCUCUCCGAGCCUGGAAUUCUCCACCUGGAACAGGGUCUGUGAAGAGCUGGGCUGGCUUAGGGAGAGGACACGACUGCACCUGGUAGGACAGCCUCCUUGGUCAGGGCGGCACCUCCGUCCUGGGCUAUCACCAGGUGGUGGUGGGCUGCAGGAGCUGCGGAGCAGGGACAGGCUGGGAGCCCUGCUGAAGGAGAGGUGUCCUCCAAAGAUGACCAAGGCUGGGCAUCUGGCUCUAGGCAGGACUCCCAACCUUGCACCCCAAGUGGGCUACAGGUCAGUGGAGCUGCUGAUCCCACCUGGCCUGAGACUGGGCAGACCCCAGCAGGAGCCUCGGGGACCCCCAGCUCUCUGUGUGACUGGGAACAGGAUUCACGUUUCCAGGACGCUCUACCCAGGGUCUUUAAACACAAGUGAAUCUGUCCUCAGUGUUUACAGCCAGCCCUGAUGACCAGCAGAGGCCCCUCCCCAGACGGGAGCUGUGGCCCUGGCCUCUACUCUCCAGCCGGAGAAGAGGAGCCGUCUUGAAGCUUAGAAAGCAGCUGAGGUGGGGUGUGUGAGCCGAAGAGCAGAGGACACCUGCAGAGCAGCUUGUGGCCUGGGGCUCGGAAUCGGCUGUGCUGCGAGUGUUUGCACCACGGGAACUGGCAGACGCUGCACAUCAAAGCCGGGUCACUGCCCACCCACGGCCCUGGCCUCCUGGGUCCCCACGUGCUCACCCCGGGGCUGCAUUUUGAGCACCUCGGACUGGAAGGGCUGCUUAUGAGCACAGCGCGUGGUCGACCCUCGCUGCAGGAGUCACGUGAAUACACGAAAACCAAGAAGAACUAAACAGCUGGGGCCGUGUUUAUCCCUCACGUCUUUACUUCUGCUGUCAGCACUCCCCAGGGCAGGGAGCAGCCCCUUCCCACAGUGCCCCCUGCAGAGAACACAUCCCAGGAACCCACACUGCAGCAGGGGCGAGCACGGCCGCCCGCCUUCCUCCGACACCGCGAGGGCCUCCACGCAAGUCCCGAGCGGUCCGUGUGUGUGCAGGGAGGCCAGGCGCCGGCGCUCUCUGACUGCUGUAGAUUUGUAUGGAGCUGCCUGGAGCCUCCUGGGCCUGAGCGUUCCUGCGCCCUGGCCCCCAGGGAGAGGCUCCUCACUCCCGGCUCACGCAGCUCCUGGAAGUUGUCUCUGAUCUGGACCCCGCUCCAGGCCACACUCUGGCUGGGCGCCAGGUUUGGGGCUGAUCACUUGAGAUUCCAAGGGCCCUGGGUUAGAGUCUGCUCCAGGGCGUGGGGAGGAGGAAGGUGCCGGCCGCCCAGAUCCCACUGUCUCAUCUGGGCCUGAGGCUUCGGCCCUCAGAGCUCCUGCUUCCCACUGCUCAGAGAGUGUGAGAAGCGCCUGCCCAGCCGGAGCUCAGUGAGGACCAGCUCUGGCUUCCUUCAUUUCAAUCACGUCUUUCCAGGGACCUCCGAUUUUGAUGCGCACCAGGGCUCCCUGGGCCUCUCUUAGAGGAGGGUGUUACUGGCUUAUUUUCUGCCAACAGGAGCAAAGGAUGAGGCAACAGGUGGACAUGAGUUGGGGGGCUGGAGGGUCAGAGACCUGUGGUCAAGACUGUAUCCACCUCGUGACCCGAUGGGAACAGGCAAGUCUGGGGAACUGUAAGAAAUCACUCCGGCCUUGUCAUGUGCGCCGAGUGGGGGCCAGUCCCCCAGUGGAGGCCCUCCCUGCGGGUUCCUCUGCUCUUACCUGCGCCCCUCCUUCCUUCCUGGAGCACCCCUGCCCGAGCCUGUCCUGGCCCCAUUUUAAUCCACGCUGCUUCCUCCUUUGGAUCUCCAGCCAUCAGGGAGGCCCCUCUCAAGGGCCUGCUGAGCUCCACCACCCCCUCCUCCUGCAGAAGACACCUCUUUCACCCGCCCCAAAGACCAGGCAGCCUCCCUCUGGGUCUUUCCUGCAUCCCCUCAUUCCAGAGGGCUCCCAAGGGCAGAGGCAGCUUGAAGUGAGAGUCUGUGGACGGCAGGCCUGCCUCGGGAGAAGCACACACAGCCUCUGCUGGACUUGGAGGGUCCCAGCCACCCAUGGGCAGUCACCAUUCUCCAGCCUGGGGCAUGCUGAUCACGGCUGGGAGAUGGUGCCACAGAAGGCCCAGAAGAGGUCCUAGCCCAGGCUGCUGGGUGCCUGGCCUGACUGCUUGGGGAGGGGCAGCCCCUGUGGGCCCCUGGAGGGCCUCUUCUGUGCCAGUGCCCCCACAGCACACACCGCCCAGGAAUCCCAGGCCCCGGGUCAGGAGGGUGACCACUGCCUGCUUGCACCAGACUGAGGAGUGAGGUCUUGGAGCCUUUGCUUCCUGGCCCAUGGCUGACCGACCCCUCUGCCAGGAACAAGCACGCCGGCCUCUGCAGCGUGGGCCGGGAUAGCAGCCCUGGCAGAACGCUUCUGGAUUGGAUCUUUGUGUCCCUGAUCUGGCGGCUCCCAGACCACACUGAGGGUGUCAGACACACUCAGGUCUCCAUACCCCUUGGGGAGCUAUGGCGGCACCCCAUCUGUCUGUUUCCGGUGUAAAGGGGAGUCCACAGCUCCUGGAACCUGCCGGCCGCUUCAGGUGGUUGAGCCUGACCUUCCAGUUGGUACUGAGAGGUCCUUGGCUCUCACCCCCACCCCCACCCCCACUGCCACCAAAGAACCUGUGGUUACCUCAACCUCAGGCCAUGUGGCAGGGACCCCAGGGCCGGCCCUUCCCACCAGGCCCAGUUGCAAAGGCAGGGGUGGACCCCAACCCUACAGAAAGCAGGGACCUGCGCCUUCCAGAUGGCUCCCCCACUGCCCCAAAGCACUUGACUGGUCAGACCGUGGGCCCGAGAAACAGAUGCCCCACUUAGCCAGUGCACGGCUUUCCAGGAAAGAGCAGCCAGCGGCCCCUCCGUUCCUCUGAGGACAGCGGGAAGAGCGUAGCCCUUUGUCAAUUCCUUUCUUUCCCCAGCACGUGAUAGAGCCACGCCUCGAUGCUCAGCAUUGAUAGGGAGGACAGAAGUGCCCGGCAGGCUCCUUCCCCACCCGCAGCACCGGCCUCCAGCCCGGCUCUGGCCCUGCUAGUCAUGACCAUCACAGCCCAGGCAGGGAAGGGACGUCAGGGCCCAGGGACCCUAGGACUCCCGGUGGGAAGAGGCCUCAAAUCAGCCAGGGCCUUAGGAUGCUUGUGGUGGGUUAUGAGUUUAGCAUUUCCCUUUGAACAGUCAUGGAUUGGUUUUCUUGUGUAUUAGAAAAAAACGUAGGGCGUAAAGACCAAGAUGAGGGGUUCUGGAGUUUUUGGUGGAGGCUGAGUUCCUCGUCAGCCAGAGCCGGCUGAAUGAGAAAACCGAAUGGCACCUCGGGCGUGGCUGAGAGCCUGCUGUGUCUGGGGAGUGGCUGCGGCCGGAGGCCAUGCUCCUGCCCGCGGUUGUGGUCAGCUUGCUGUCUCUGGAAGGGGCCUCCUGGUCUCUGGCCUCAAAGUGCAGAAGCAGCCACAGACGUGGAGGGGUGUGUUUGGCUUGUGCCAAUUACACUGUGUUUAUGGACCCGGAGAUGGGAGUUCCGUGUAACUCUCAUGUGUCACAAAACCUUUUUUUUUUCCCCCUACCAUCUAUAAAUGUUAGAAUCAUUCCCAGCCUGUGGUCAGACACAGUCAGGCUGAACUUGGCCACGACUGCAGGCCCACAGACCCAGGACGCUGAAGAAGCUUGCUGGGCGAGAGCACGUGGCAUUGGGCAUCGGGGCCUGGGCUGGAACUCCUGUCCCUACCUUGGGGCCCUUGAGGGUCUUGGGGGCAUGGUGGACACUGGGUGUGGUUCCCGCCAGCCAUAUCCCAGCCCCUUCCUGCCCCCAUGGCAUCAGUGGGGGGCCUGUUGCCUCUGGGGCUGGAGGGAUCCAGGCUGGGCCACCAUGCAGGCUGUGGGAUGCUGUGUGGCCAGGCCGGGCCCAGGAGGAGUUCCACCUGUCCGAGUAGAGAAAGAGGCCCCACCCAGAGAGAAACAGAGUGGAUAGCAGCAGGGGGCUGGGUCACUGAAGGCCCCAAGCCCAGCUUCUCCAGGGACUCUCAAACUUCCAUUUUUGCUUAAAGUUAUUUCAAGUUCAGGUCUUGUUUCCUGCAACUCUCAAAAUCCUGAAGCUCCACGAGUUUUCCCUCGGCUCCCAGAGGAGACCCUGGAGGACCCAGCCAGGCUCACUGCAAAACAGCUCCUGGGAGCUCAUGGCCCAGCAGGACGGGGUCCCAGCCCGCAGCGAGGAAUCUGGGCCCGAGGGCAGGGCCCACACGCCUGGGAGAGCAGGUGACAUACCCAGAAACCCACCGCCUUGGACCUGCCCUGGGCAGCCCCGAGACGAUCAGGGCGGCACAGACUGCGUUUCCCUGUGAGAAGCCUCCUCUCCCCGCUGCCAGUCACGUCCCAAUCUGCUUUUGACCUGUCCGGGGCGCCACGGCCCCGCCCGGGAACUGGCUGCUGAGCCAAGAUGAGCCUGAGGGGCCGGCAGUUGUGCCAGAAUAUUCCAAAGGCCCAGAGGCUGUCACAGACAGUGACGUGUGAUAAAAAUCCCCAAAUGUCCCAGGACAGGAAGCCAGUUUAACCCUUCCCGUUUCCCUGCCUGCAGCUGCUGUGGAAACACAAUCAUUGCAUAAGCAGGAGCUUACCGGUGUCCUGCUGGAAGCCGUGCGUGUGGCUGACAAGAGACUGACACACCCCUUGGCAAGCAGCGGCUGGCAGAGACCUGAAUAAAGACCAGUGUCUUGGAUUCCAGCACAGGCUCUAAGGGGGCGCUUGCUUCUUAAGGGGUCCAGGGGCUGAAGCUGGAGGAGGAGGCAGCCGGCUCCCGGGGGAGGGCGGAGGGCAGCCAGCACAUCCCCCAAGGCCCUGUCCAAGCUCAACCUAGGAGGCUGGAGCUGCAGCCUCUGUCCCCUGCACUACCCUUGGGAAGGGGCUCCCGUGGAAGGGUUGGCUGUGCCACCAGAAGCUGGGCCUGCUGCUCAUUUCCAUGGCCCUGGUGGCCUUCAUGGAGGAAAGCCAUUGUGUGCAAAGGAAGGAAGUCUGUGUACCCUGACGGCGGGCUGUCUACUGGUACCUGGUCCAGCAUCUCUCCGGUGAAGCCUGGGUGGUGCCAGGGCUUGAAAGCCCCUCCCCUGGAGAGCUCCCCUGUUGGUUCUGACUUGCUGUCCUUCGCAGGCAGAAUCGGCUUUGGGGCUGGGAGCCACCCCGGGACCUGGCUCCCAAGGACACUGGCUGAGCCCGGUAGCGGGUGAAGGCUCAGGCCCCCGGGGCAGCUCCCGGACCGGCAAGGGAGAAGACAGGUGAGAUCUGCAGGAUGGAUUUGUUCCCACUCUUGGAAUUCAUGAUCACUUUGCUCCUGAGCCCCCAGGAAUCAGCAAGAGUGUCCCCCCCGAAUUAACAUGCAGAUUAUUUGUAUUGUUAAACGGCGCCAAUUAUUACUUGGAGAAAAUCUGGCACUUCGGUGAACAAAAGGACAUGGGGCGGUUUCUGGACAAAGCCAGAUUUUAUAGUACUCAGAAGAAUGAGGUCCAGCCGCAGGCCUCACCUCCCUCCUCGGGGCUUGCGGCCCAGCCUGCCCCUGGCAGUGCCAGCAGCUUAUCCGCCGGUCCCCAAGGCGAGCUGUUCCCUUCACACCAGGGCUCGCCUCUCCUUUCUUUGAGAAACGGGAACCUGGAUGGAUCCAUCUCAGGGGGAAUCCCCCGGAAGUGAAGCCUGAGGGCAGAGCGCUUGUGAAAGUGAUUUAUUGGGGGAACAGUUGCGGUUUUAUGGGGUGAACUGCGUCCCUCAAAUUCUCUUGCUAACCCCCAAUACCCCAGAAUGUGACUGCUGUUGAGACAAGGUCUUUCAAGAGCUGAUUAAGGUAAAUGAGGUCAUGAGGGUGCCUGGUCCAGUAUGACUGGCAUCCUUAUAAGAACACGGGACGCCAGGGGCCUGCGUGCCCACAGGGGCAGCCCCAAGACCAGGCAGCAGGGCCGGGUAAAGCAGCACUGGGGGCCUGGACCCCGGACUUCCAGUCUCCAGAUGGUGAGAAGUCAGGUCUGCUGUCGAAGGCCUCAGGGUGCGAUAUUUCAAUUUAGCGGCCUGAGCCAACUGAGGCCAGGGGAACGGGCUGGCAGCCAGGGAAGACAGCGAAGCCAAGAUGUGGGCGGGAGGGAAGCUGCACGUCAGGCGGGACCCCUCCUGAAGACUCACAGCUGUGAGCCCCUAGCAGCAGUGGGUGAUGAGUCCUGGGAGAGGGUGGGAAUGGAGACUCUGACAGCACCUGCCCCUCCGCCCUGGACACUCAGCCAGCAAGAUCAAUGCAGAACUCACAGAACAGCCUCCACCCAUCACUGAGCAGCCAGUGCCCGGCAGAAUUAUCUCAGCAUCUGGACGGUGGCACCACGGGGACCUCGGGCUGCAGAGGACAGGCCAGCCUGCGAGUGGACAUGGUGCCCGACCUCAUGGCACCGUCAGCGAAGCCAAGAACAACUCCUGCCCUGCCCGGCUUCCCUGAGGCCCCGUGUCCUCGGAGUGAGUCUCACGGCUCCGGGCUCGCUGGCUUCUAAGUCCCGUCCUUCUGUCCUUCAGUCUCGGCCUCAGCCUUUACUCUUACGUCUCUCAGGGAGAAAAAUAAACCUCUAUAGCUGGCAUUUGCAAAA
This is a long non-coding RNA of Callithrix jacchus (white-tufted-ear marmoset), 6715 nucleotides long. RefSeq lists it as uncharacterized. Lineage: Eukaryota; Metazoa; Chordata; Mammalia; Primates; Cebidae. The record is from RefSeq and is a predicted model, not a curated record.